CUUAGUGGCGAACGGGUGAGUAACGCGUGAGUAACCUGCCCUAGAGUGGGGGACAACAGUUGGAAACGACUGCUAAUACCGCAUAAGCCCACGGUACCGCAUGGUACUGAGGGAAAAGGAUUUAUUCGCUUUAGGAUGGGCUCGCGUCCAAUUAGCUAGUUGGUGAGGUAACGGCCCACCAAGGCGACGAUUGGUAGCCGGACUGAGAGGUUGAACGGCCACAUUGGGACUGAGACACGGCCCAG
Molecule: ribosomal RNA, 245 nt
Filed under: uncultured bacterium
Lineage: Bacteria
Description: partial 16S ribosomal RNA
Rfam family: Bacterial small subunit ribosomal RNA
Source: RNAcentral